RNAcentral lists this ribosomal RNA (414 nucleotides) under uncultured microorganism. Its description in RNAcentral is "bacterial SSU rRNA". It matches the Rfam family "Archaeal small subunit ribosomal RNA", at positions 459 to 872 of the family's 1478-position model. The record is from RNAcentral.
CAGCCGCCGCGGUAAUACCGGCGGCCCGAGUGGCGGCCACUAUUAUUGGGCUUAAAGCGUCCGUAGCCGGGUUGGUUAGUCUCCCGGGAAAUCUGGCCGCUUAACGGUCAGAAUUCCGGGAGAUACUGCCAGCCUAGGGACCGGGAGAGGCCGAGGGUAUUCCCGGAGUAGGGGUGAAAUCCUAUAAUCCCGGGAGGACCACCUGUGGCGAAGGCGCUCGGCUGGAACGGGUCCGACGGUGAGGGACGAAGGCCAGGGGAGCAAACCGGAUUAGAUACCCGGGUAGUCCUGGCUGUAAACGAUGCGGACUUUGUGUCGGACAAGCUAUGAGCUUGUCCGGUGCCGGAGGGAAACCGUUAAGUCCGCCGCCUGGGGAGUACGGCCGCAAGGCUGAAACUUAAAGAAAUUGGCGGG